UAACACAAGGGGUGCUUCGGCUGAGAUGGGAUUAACCCGAACUCUAUGAACCUGAAUGAGUUAAGACUCGCGUAGGGAUGUGAAUAAGUAA
This 91-nucleotide non-coding RNA is filed under the name Ruoffia tabacinasalis. RNAcentral describes it as "TPP riboswitch (THI element)". It matches the Rfam family "TPP riboswitch aptamer (THI element)". Rfam says of the family: Vitamin B(1) in its active form thiamin pyrophosphate (TPP) is an essential coenzyme that is synthesised by coupling of pyrimidine and thiazole moieties in bacteria. Lineage: Bacteria; Bacillati; Bacillota; Bacilli; Lactobacillales; Aerococcaceae. The record is from RNAcentral.